AUUCCAUGAUGAGGGCAGUUCUUAAUCAUCAUAUUGAAACGCUCAAAGGUUUCAUGAUACAUUUCACCUUGUUGUUGUUGGAAACUCCUCAACCCCUUCCUAGCAU
RNAcentral lists this small nucleolar RNA (106 nucleotides) under Helianthus annuus (common sunflower). Its description in RNAcentral is "sRNA HanXRQr2_Chr11g0488371". It matches the Rfam family "Plant small nucleolar RNA R71". Rfam says of the family: R71 is a member of the C/D box family of snoRNAs containing the C (UGAUGA) and D (CUGA) box motifs. Multiple nearly identical copies of this snoRNA have been identified in Arabidopsis, and it is thought to function as a 2'-O-ribose methylation guide for 18S ribosomal RNA. Lineage: Eukaryota; Viridiplantae; Streptophyta; Magnoliopsida; Asterales; Asteraceae. The record is from Rfam by way of RNAcentral.